ACCUACGGGGCGCAGCAGUAGGGAAUCUUCCACAAUGGGCGAAAGCCUGAUGGAGCAACGCCGCGUGGGUGAAGAAGGUCUUCGGAUCGUAAAACCCUGUUGUUAGAGAAGAAAGUGCGUGAGAGUAACUGUUCACGUUUCGACGGUAUCUAACCAGAAAGCCACGGCUAACUACGUGCCAGCAGCCGCGGAAAUACGUAGGUGGCAAGCGUUAUCCGGAUUUAUUGGGCGUAAAGGGAACGCAGGCGGUCUUUUAAGUCUGAUGUGAAAACCUUCGGCUUAACCGGAGUAGUGCAUUGGAAACG
RNAcentral lists this ribosomal RNA (305 nucleotides) under uncultured bacterium. RNAcentral describes it as "bacterial SSU rRNA". It matches the Rfam family "Bacterial small subunit ribosomal RNA", at positions 337 to 634 of the family's 1533-position model. The record is from RNAcentral.